CGUUCCGCAGCUUGAUUGGAGGAGCGCGGCCCUCCGAAGGCCGAGGUUGUGGGUUCGACUCCCACCGGAACGA
RNAcentral lists this transfer RNA (73 nucleotides) under Actinomycetota bacterium. Its description in RNAcentral is "tRNA-Arg". It matches the Rfam family "tRNA". Rfam says of the family: Transfer RNA (tRNA) molecules are approximately 80 nucleotides in length. Lineage: Bacteria; Bacillati; Actinomycetota. The record is from RNAcentral.